GCAGGCUGCAACCCGCCUGUAUGAAGUUGGAAUCGCUAGUAAUCGCGGAUCAGCAUGCCGCGGUGAAUACGUUCCCGGGCCUUGUACACACCGCCCGUCACACCAUGAGAGUCGGGAACACCCGAAGUCCGUAGUCUAACUUUCACGAGAGGACGCGGCCGAAGGUGGGGUUCGAUAAUUGGGGGUGAAGUCGUAACAAGGUAGC
Molecule: ribosomal RNA, 205 nt
Filed under: uncultured bacterium
Lineage: Bacteria
Description: partial 16S ribosomal RNA
Rfam family: Bacterial small subunit ribosomal RNA
Source: RNAcentral